CCUACGGGUGGCAGCAGUGGGGAAUAUUGCGCAAUGGGCGAAAGCCUGACGCAGCGACGCCGCGUGAGGGAUGAAGGUCUUCGGAUCGUAAACCUCUGUCAACAGGGAAGAACAGUCACUGUGCUAAUCAGCAGUGCAUUGACGGUACCUGCAAAGGAAGCACCGGCUAACUCCGUGCCAGCAGCCGCGGUAAUACGGAGGGUGCGAGCGUUAAUCGGAAUUACUGGGCGUAAAGCGCGCGUAGGCGGUAUGUCAAGUCAAGGGUGAAAUCCCCGCGCUCAACGUGGGAACUGCCUUUGAAACUGGCAAACUGGAGUGUGGGAGAGGAGAGAGGAAUUCCAGGUGUAGGAGUGAAAUCCGUAGAUAUUUGGAGGAACAUCAGUGGCGAAGGCGACUAUCUGGAACAUAACUGACGCUGAGGAGCGAAAGCGUGGGUAGCAAACAGGAUUAGAUACCCCAGUAGUC
RNAcentral lists this ribosomal RNA (465 nucleotides) under uncultured bacterium. RNAcentral's name for it is "partial 16S ribosomal RNA". It matches the Rfam family "Bacterial small subunit ribosomal RNA", at positions 338 to 795 of the family's 1533-position model. The record is from RNAcentral.